UUAGGAUCUAGACCUGGCAUAUCUUCAUACGACCAUGCAAAAAUGUCCGGAUAUUCCCGGAGGAGCUGGAUGAUAUUCUUUUUAACCCCUUCCUCUAGAGCAACACCGAUCUUGAUUUCUCGCUUGUUUUCCUCGGUACCUAUGUUGAUAAGCUCAAUCUCUUCCUGG
RNAcentral lists this microRNA precursor (168 nucleotides) under Medicago truncatula (barrel medic). Its description in RNAcentral is "MIR2680 microRNA precursor family". It matches the Rfam family "MIR2680 microRNA precursor family". Lineage: Eukaryota; Viridiplantae; Streptophyta; Magnoliopsida; Fabales; Fabaceae. The record is from Rfam by way of RNAcentral.